CAAAAAUCGCUCGAAUGAACGUUACUUUCAAUUAUGUCAUUUUCCGUUAAAGUUCAUUAUAGCACAAUAUAAAGAACGCCUCGUGCUAUUUCUUUGCAUAACAAUUUUAGUUUGAUAUAGAUACAGGACUAUUGCUGUUGAAUAAUGAGUGCCUACCUUGGAUUUUGCUGCAUAUUGAUUUGCUUCACAGGAUUGAAGUAUACUGAAGCUGCUGUAACGUGCUUUCCCACUGUGGACUGUGGUUUUAAUAUUGAUGGUUGCACUUCUUUCUGUGUUGAGAAAUUCUGUGCAGGAUCAGCGAGGUGCGUCGGAAACAACCAGUGUUGCUGUGGUGGCUGUGUUGUUGUAAAGCCGCCGAAGAGAUAUUAAGAACAAAAAGGAUCUCAACCAACACAUGAUAGACCAUUCAAGUUUGAAAUUAAUAAUGGAUAUAUUAAAUUAGUUCAUAAACAAAGAAACUAACAACAGAUUGUUAUCAUUAAGACGUGCUUUCAUGUUUAUAUAUAUAAAAAAAAGAUGUUGUAUGAUUGCCAAUGAGACAAUUCUCCACCAGAGACCAAAAUGACACAGAAAUUAACAAUUAUAGGUCACCGUACGGCCUUCAACAAUGAGAAAAGACUAAAU
This is a long non-coding RNA of Mytilus trossulus (common blue mussel), 624 nucleotides long. RefSeq lists it as uncharacterized. The transcript is spliced from 3 exons. The record is from RefSeq and is a predicted model, not a curated record. Lineage: Eukaryota; Metazoa; Mollusca; Bivalvia; Mytilida; Mytilidae.